GGGGUGGCGGAGUUUAAACAAGUGGAGCUUUUAGAGUAGGUAGCUAGUCUUUUGAAACCUGAUUAUGUGAAGGGGGGGUGGGGUUUUGAAAUGACACUGUAAAGACAGUAUAUUUAUGAAACAGAAGAAUAGCACUUCAUGGUCCCAUUAUCAUCUGUCCUUUAUCAGGUUAGGUGUAGCCUACGAUAUGUCAACUCCUGACUAAAGUCUUGUGUUUUUCAAGUUGGAUUUGGCACAGAUUAAAGAAGGAAGGAAGGAAGGAAGGAAGGAAGGAAGGAAGGAAGGAAGGAAGGAAGGAAGGAAGGAAGGAAGGAAGGAAAAAAGGACAUGCAUUCAGUGAUGUCACUUGAUAUACCUCCUUCAGUGUCCAAUCAGAGUCCAAUUGGAGCAACACAAGGAUUCCGAUUGGUUGGAUAUUUUUUGCAUGCCAGUGUACGUACAUUGUAAAAGAUUGUUGCUGGAGCGGGCAGUUGUUUACGAAAGUGGAAUGUACGCAGGACAGAUUCCAAUGUUUAGAUAUGACAUAUUUGCCCUUGAGAGAAGCCGUCCUUUUCUCAGAAAGAGGUGUGCACUUAAGGUUGGUUUUAGUCGCUGCAACCGCUCUCGUAGUGUUUUUUUUUGCUAAAGCUCUUUUCAGAAUAACUUUUUCCUUCUUUAAAGUUAAAAAAAAGAAGAAACAAUUGUGAGUGUGUGAGUGCCUGUAUGUGUUGCUGCUUGAUGGUGUGAAAUGCUUUUAGUUUCCUCUUGUCGGGCCUGUGAAGCCUGUGCCCUCCAACCAUACUGUAGCCUGAGCUGCGUUUGCAACACAGAACUAUCAGUGCUCUUUUUAACGUUUUUGGAACACUGACACUGGUGUAAUAGUGCAAGGCCGAAGCGUUGCGGUUCUGAAUGCACCCUUCAAUGCUUUCUAUAGGAAGAAUUAUAUCACCCACUCUCUGCCUCACAGACAAGAGACUACAUGUCCCAGACAUCCUCAGCCCAGACACUACGUUACGCAGACACCCUCAGCCCAGACACGACGUUACCCAGACACCCUCAGCCCAGACACUACGUUACCCAGACACCCUCAGCCCAGACACGACGUUACCCAGACACCCUCAGCCCAGACACUACGUUACCCAGACACCCUCAGCCCAGACACGACGUUACCCAGACACCCUCAGCCCAGACACUACGUUACCCAGACACCCUCAGCCCAGACACUACGUUACGCAGACACCCUCAGCCCAGACACGACGUUACCCAGACACCCUCAGCCCAGACACUACGUUACCCAGACACCCUCAGCCCAGACACUACGUUACCCAGACACCCUCAGCCCAGACACUACGUUACCCAGACAUCCUCAGGGAAUUAAGAUAACACUGCUCUCACUCUAUUCAGGUACUUUCUCUAGAUUCUGAGGCCUAGCAGUGAUCUGUAGUUAUUUGUAGUUAUUAUGAUUAUUUCAUUUUUUUUUUAUAUUACUUUUGUAUUAUUAUUCACUGUAAAAAGAAAAUGUCAAGUGUCCUGAAAACUUACUUUAAUUUUAUUUUCUAUUUUGUUUUCUCCCUUGGUCCCUCAAAGAAAAAAAUGUAAUUCUAUUUUAUAAAAUGUAGAUUAAGAUUCCACAUCUAAUGAAUGUCUAUCUACUUCUCAGCUCAGGUGGAGAGGGUCCUCAAAGCACGUAAACUGCCCUCUCUACGCACCGUGCCUCAGACUCUGUGGCUUAUAUACUGGGGACCACAUGGUGGCUACUUAACACUGCCGUAGGCUACGUAACACAGUCAUAAGCAUGACAUAACAGGUCCUAGAUACUUAUGACGAGCUACUGUACCUUUAUAAGCUGACAUGACACUUUGACUGCCACCUCAUUCGAGGUGUAAACUUCUAUCCCUCUCUGACAAACACAACACCUCUGAACACAACAGUGUGAGUACUGCCUUCUGGCUCACCUGCCAAUCAAUCAAACGUCAGCGUUAGCGCUGUAAUCUUCUCAGAACAUCAACAAAUCACCUCACAGAACCGUCUGACCUGAACAAAAAGCACCUCUGGAACUUCUAAAACCGCAGUCAUCAAGUUGAGGGAGAAACUAUCAUCCACAGCCAGCCAAGUCAACUGAAAAGUCAGUUUAUUCGCAGUUCCUUUGAAGUUUUGUGACAAAAAUGAAAAAUGUAUAUAUCAGUUGGCUUGUUUUGUUUGCAGCUUUUUGUGCUUGUUUUGUUCAAAGUGCUGCUGAGUGGUUGAUGAUGGAUGACUAACUGGCUUGCUGUUGUGUGGGACUUCAGCAAAUGUUCUGCUAUUCUGGUAAGCCUACGUACAUCUUUUGUUGCGUGCCUACCUGGCGAUACGUUUUCAAAAUGACCUUCUGACUUUGGUUUUUAAUUCUUCGUAUUUUGCGUUUGAACUUGGCAAUCCUUCUUUAUAUAUUCUGAAUGUUUGGUGUGGUGCUGGCGUCGGUGCUGGUGUGGUCUGGUGCUGGUUUGUGAUGCCAGCGAUGGAGAUAUCAGUUUGGUCGGUGUUCUUAAAAAGGUUUUUAAACGCUGGGUGUCUGACUUCUCUAGAUAGCCCUACUGCAGGUAUGAUCCGAGACUGGUUCAUUCUUAACGAAUGAAAUACUUCUACUUACUUACUUGGUGACUUUUCCUAGCUAAGGCUUUGCUAACUUACUAGCUAACUCUACUUUCUAACAAGUGAACCGAUGCCCUCUAUUCGGGGCCUGGCGUUUCCUCUGUAUUUCCGAGAGAGAUUUCUGGGUUUGUUGAUAUACCUCAUGCUAUCCAGAUGGAGUAGAUAGGGGGCGCUGUUGUUGUGGAAAGCAAUGUCUCGCCCCCUGUUAUAGAACAGUUCCUUAUAGCUCGUUUUUAUACUCGGGUUCUUUCUGGGAGUCCAACCCUGUACCUCACACCCGGAAGGCUUUCUCUCUCUUUCUCCAUAGAAACUGGAUUGGACCUCAUUUUUUUCAAUAUCUACUACUGUUUACAGUUUGGGCAGAACAUUGUAUAAUUUAAAUAUUUUUCUCUUACUGUCGUUUUUGUUUAUGUACAUUUAUCCAAAACUUUUUGUACUGUGUGAGUUGGAGUUUUUAUUCUAGGCUUGUAUGAUUGAUCGAUGUCCGUUUUUAAUUGAGCACUUAAAAGAGGAUCACAUUAAUUAUGUUUGAUUGAUUUGUUGAUUGAAUGAUAGGUUGAUUGAAUACACUAUCUGUUUUUGUUUUCCCCAUUUUUUUUAAUGCAAAAUCAGAUUUUACUAAAUGGGCUAAUGAAAUAAUAAAAAAUCUGUCAUCUAAUGUGAUAAAAAAAUAAAAAAAUCUGUGGUCUGUUAUUUGUUUUUUUAUUUUGCAUUGAACUUCGGGCUGAUUAGAUCCGUCUUUGUGCAUGUGUUAAACAAAUAUUUUACUGGUUAUGUUAUUAUUGACAUUUGGAAUAAAUGCCAUUUUGGCAACACAUUUCAGCUGUACCGUUCUGUAAGGUGGUAUGAUGCUAGAGCUUCUUUUCAAAACCACUAUUCUUCUAAUAAAUUUUGUUGUGAAAAUAA
Long non-coding RNA from Oncorhynchus tshawytscha (Chinook salmon), 3516 nucleotides. NCBI's taxonomy places the organism in Eukaryota, Metazoa, Chordata, Actinopteri, Salmoniformes, Salmonidae. The record is from Ensembl.